AAUAAAAACAAACAGAACAUGCAUUAAGCAUAUAUUUGGUUAUACUAAGGUUUUUUAUUCAAUUUCUCGUUAUGUCUAUCAAAAAUGUGCUUUCACUUCUUGCGGUUUUAUGCAUCAUUGUUUCUGUAAAUGCUCAAUUGCCACAGAUUCCUGGUCCGUUUCCUUUUCCAUUUCCGUUCCAACCGAUUCCUGGUAUGCCAGGAUUACUUGACAUAACAAAAUGUUUGUCAUCCGUGAUGGAUAUUCCCAGAUGCAUUACAGAAAUUUCUCAAUCUAUUUUCAUUGGAAAAUUCGGUAAUUUAGGUCCGGCUUGUUGCAAAGCAUUUUUGGAUGCUGAAGCCAAUUGUAUGCCCAAAAUUCCAUUCAUUCCGCUUUUUCCUCCAAUGCUAAAGGAACAAUGUUCAAGAAUUGCUGGUGCAACUCCUCCGACACCAAAAUAGAGCUUUAAUAU
RNAcentral lists this small RNA (451 nucleotides) under Arabidopsis thaliana (thale cress). Its description in RNAcentral is "ATSL287780". The record is from RNAcentral. Lineage: Eukaryota; Viridiplantae; Streptophyta; Magnoliopsida; Brassicales; Brassicaceae.